Molecule: long non-coding RNA, 347 nt
Filed under: Setaria italica (foxtail millet)
Lineage: Eukaryota; Viridiplantae; Streptophyta; Magnoliopsida; Poales; Poaceae
Description: long non-coding RNA (SITA_LNC001084)
Source: RNAcentral
UAAGGACCAUCACUACAUUAUUAUCAAACCAAUCUAUAUUUUAAAACCUCCUUUAAAAGGCAAUCCGCUUAAAUUACUUUUGCAUCGAGAGUUGCUAUAGGUUUAAGGGCUAAGACCCUAAACUCUUCUCUUGCUACUCUACCCAUAUACACUUCAUUGCUCUUUGUAGGAUUAGGAUUUGCUGAGCAUCUCCCAUGCUUGCUCUUCAUAUAUUCGUCGUUACAACUGAAGACCGGCCGAAGCAGCCAAAUAAGGUGUUAUGGUCAUAUUCUGCGCUUAAGGUUGCCUAUGGCACAUGGGCCUACUCCGCUGCUGCUUGUCGAUCCUCCCGUGGGGCUCGAUAAAAC